Molecule: long non-coding RNA, 5147 nt
Filed under: Sus scrofa (pig)
Lineage: Eukaryota; Metazoa; Chordata; Mammalia; Artiodactyla; Suidae
Also listed under: 1 other name
Description: lncRNA (ENSSSCG00000054048.1)
Source: RNAcentral
AGAGUGGUGUGAAGAGCUCCAGGCUUUGGAGGGAGAAAAUACUAGGUUCAAAACCAUCCUAAGUUAGUUAAGAUAGUGGGCAAGUUCUUUCUAUAUCUAAAUUUUAGUUAAAUGAAAAGAAUAAUAACUAUCUUAUAGAGUUAUGGUAGAUUAAAUAGCAUAAUUAUGUAUCACAGCUCCCUACUACAUAGUAAGUAAUAAAUGGUAGCUGCAGCUAUUAUGUGGAGGAAAAAAGAAAGUAAACAUGGUUAUUUGUCCACUUCUGCAUUUGGUACUAAGGGAAUUCCACAGAAGAUUGAAGGUGAAGCUUUAUAAAAACGAAUAAUCUAAUACCUCAAAGUGCAUCAAUUUUAGUGAACCCCAGGAAAGUGAAAGGGUGCAUUUUCUUCAAAGGCUACCAGAAAAUAUUGGACUGAGGAGUUUCACUGGGCACAGCUUUAAAACUCCUCCAUUUUUCCCCCUGGGAGAUGUGCUCAGGUGUGCUAAUGUUCUUCUGCCCAUUCAGGGUGAAGUCUUGCCAGUUGCAGAAAGUACUAAGUGGCAGCUUUUUAAGGCUCCUAUAUUCCUCAAAAUACCUCUCUGCAACUGCAAUAUAACUGAUGUACACGUUUUUAAAAACUGUUACCUGGAACUAACAUCUGGGUCUGGAAAUAAAUUCAUAUCAUGCUGCCAAUCCACCUUACUUCACUAUGUUCAGGAUAAGUUUUAGUGGCCAGGCAUCAAACAUGGCAAUCUGCCGGCAGCUCUGCAAUGAUGCCCAGUCUGUAGGUGUGUGCCAUCAACCAGCUCCUCCUUACAGCAUUGGAGAAGGCCAGAGUGUGGCAGGUCUGCCUGAUGAUUGCCUAGCCACCUCAGCUCUGUGGGCAGCUGAGGUAUUAUGUUCUAUGUUAUGUUCCUAGUAGAAAGGAACCCCAGACGUGGGGGAUCAGAGCUCUUUCCAGCCAUGUGAGUUUGGAUGACAUCAAAUAGCAUCUAACAGCAUCAUUUCCUUGCUUAUCAAGGGCAGAUAAAAGCAUUUGUCCUCAUCAACCUUUCAGGCUACAUGGAUAGACCAAAAUAGAAACAUAAAAUUUGUGCAAGUUUGGUAUAAAUUAUGAAGUAUAAAGAAUUAUAGCAAUAUGCUAUAACGGAAAAAAUAAAAAUCAUUAUGUAAAAACAGAAUUAUAACAAUAUAAGCAAUACUGCCAUUAUUUCUUCUAGUAGGUGCUUAAAAUAUGUCCUAUAAGUGUUUGAAGAAACAUGUAAUUUUACAUUGAAAGAGGAUCAGACAAAAGUGAGGGUGGAAUCUGGUUAUUUGGGUCUUCUUUAAAGACGUGUUAAACUCAUUGGCAUGUUGGAUUCAGACUUUGAACAUUUGUAUCCAAAAGGCUAAUAUUGUGUCCCUAGAAAGUCCUGAUCAGAAGAAUAGGAGUGAUUUUGCCUCUCUGUGCUUCCUAGAAAAUUUGUGAUUGCCAAUAUUUUCUCACUACACUUCAUUUUUGCUUCAGCGAGCAUGGUUGGUUACUCCAACUUGCCAUCAGGAACUCUGCCUGAUACACAUGGUAUAAUGGACAGAACUUUGGGCUCAGGCAGAGCUGGAUUAAAAUGUCAGGACCAACAUUACUAAACUAGCCACUUAACCUCUUUGAGCCUCAGUUUCCAAUCUAUAAAAUGGGAAUGUGAGUCUCCUCCUCACUUGGAUUGUGUAGAUUAAAUUACACAAUUUAAUUUAAAGAAUGUGUGAGAAUACUGAGUAGGGCGGUUGAUGCCUAGAGGGGUUUAAUAUAUUGCAGUCGCCUUUAUUCUUUGCAUCAUUGGCUCUUUACCUUUCAGGAUCAUUCACACUUUUGAAAAUCUAAUGAAAGCAUUGGGUCUCUGAUGCAAAAAUAAUGUGCAUAUACAUAUCCAUACAACCUCUUUCAUAUAGUUUCAGAAGUUCACUGGGUCCACUGAAGUUUAAUAAGGCCUCGCCAAAACCAAAUAACAACUCCUACUGCAAGUGGUCACUUACAACAUAUAUGUACAUAUUUCUAUCUUGAGUGUUAAAUACCUGCUUUACCUCUGAGCUCUUCUACUACUGCUACUACCAUCACAACUCAACAAAUGCUUUUACUUUAACAAAGAAUAACGACUUUUAUAUUCAUCAUAUUACAUAAUCUUCAAAAAAAUCCUCUGAAGUAUAUGUUGUCAUCUUAUUUUACAGAUUAGAAGAAAAAAUUAUUUUGUAUUUCUCCAAAAUAAAUAAGCCUCAUGAGGCGACAGCCUGUAUUAUUUUAGUUACCACUGUUUUGUCAAUGAUUUAUGCAGUGCUUGGAACAUGGUAGGCACUCAGGUGCUCAUUUGAAAUAAAUGAAGGGAAAAUGAGAAAAGAGGAUUCUUCUUUCCUGAAUAAUAAAACAAUAAUUUCAGGCUAAAUCAGCAAAAAGCCAACACUCUAUCCUAACUUCCUCCUGGGCUUAGGACUUAGCCCAGUACCAUCAGAGUUAUAAUGAACUCUUGGUAACACUUUGGUUGAUGGUUGGGCGGAUAAAUGAGAUGAAUGAAUAAAACCUCCCUUCUGAAAAAUGGAACCCUAAAUUUCAGCCAAAAAAAUUGUUUCCUUUAUCUAUUACUGCUCAAAACUUAGUGGCUUAAAGCAAACAUUUUGUUUUGCUCUCACUUUUACGGCUUUAGGAAGGGCUCAGCUGGCUGGUUUAUCUCUAAGCCACAUGGCAUAAGCUGAGGUAAAUGGGGCUAGAAGAGCAUUUCUAAGCUGAGUUCUUUACCCACCUACCUGUGCCUUGGCAGGAAGUGGUCUCUACUAGGCUCCUCUGCCUCCCCACACAGUCAGAGUCUUUCCACUUUGGCUCCUUAGCAGGGUUGUUAUUUUUCUUACACAGCAGCACUGUGCUCCGAAAUAAGGAAGUAAAACCUGUAGUUCACUUAAGCACUAUGUCUGGAAUUGAAACAACACAAUCUCCACUGGACUCCAUUGGUCAAAGUAGUCACAGGCUGGCCUGUGGUUUAAGGGAUGGGGAAAUAGAUCUCAUCUGUUCACAGGAAGGAUAACAAAGAAUGGGAAGCCACUGUUAAUCUGCUAUAGUUUCCUUAACCAAGACAAAAAGUUCACAAACAUUAAACUAUGGAGUUGCUCUUGUUGCCACCUUCAAUCAGACUUUUGUCAUGGAAUAGCUUUCAUUUCCCAAAUAUCAGUAAAUAAUACUAUAAACCCUUCGACUAAAAUUCAGUGAAGCUUGGAUGCAUAUCUGAAUUAAUUUCCAUGCUUCAGUGAACGUGUCUCAGGGGUAACAUAGGAGUGUCUAUGUUCUAGUUAUUUAAGGUAAUUCAAAUUUUUCCAAAUCUGGUGGGAUCAAGCAGCCCAAAAUAGCAUUACAGCUAAAAAUUUACUCUACAGUAAAGUGUCAUUACAAAUCAACCCUGCACUACCCACCUCCUGGGCAUGCAAAAAAUUCAGCACUGCCACUUUCAGGAUAUUUUAGCAUCUCAACAGGGAGUAUGGCUAAGUAAGAGCUAAAAUAGCACAAUGAUCCCAGAAACCAUAUAGAAGAAAGAAAAUACAAAUAGCACAAACAAGCGCAGGGCAUCUCAGGCAAUCCCAAAGAGAACUAAAGUUUAUUUCUCAACACUACUUUCUAGAGGCUCCAUAUUUUAAGAGUUUUACUUUAGCCCACCCCCACUCCCACAAAUACAAAUUAUUUCCACAGCCACAGGAUUAUUUCUUAUUGUGUCAUGAUGUUAAUCUACCUGUCACAAACAUUUAUAUCAUACAUUUCUUUUCAAUGGCCCAGGGCUUUUCUAUCUAUUAACUGAUCAAAAAGAGGAACUGGUUGUUUUGUCAAAUGCUAAUGGCACUUGGAUUAUUUUGGCUCACUGGAACUUUCAAGGUAAUAGCUGAGGAUAUUGGAAGAAAACAUUUGUUCAAUUUAAGACUUGCCUUAACUAAGGUCAACUUAGACACAAAUGUGGAAAUGAGAGCAAAGAAGAGAACAAACAAGAAAGUUUAAAAGAAGCUACAAAUGAUAAUCUCUGAGAAGGCCUCUGGGAGAACUGCUUUGUUUCUGAUGGGGCACAAUGGUCCUAGACUCAGUAUCACAAUCUCUCAUUCUUGAAACAUCCACUAGAAUGCAAGAUCCAUGGGGAGCAAGAUUUUGGUCUUUUGCUCAUUAAUGUAUCCUAGACACUAAGAACAACACCUGGCACAUAAUGAGCACUCAAUAAAUGUUUGUUCAUUUUUAACAAAUGAAGCUCAUGAGGAUUGGCUGAAAGGGAUCCAAGAUGCUAAUUGAAUGUGGGUGUACUUACUGGAGAUGUAUUCAUGCAGCAGGAACUCGGUCCAUGGCAUAGGUGAAUGGAACCAAAAUACGUGUCGACACUGAGGCAAGUCUCAGGGCCCUUGCCCGUUGGAUAGUGUGUAAUGAGGGUCUCCUCGGUGUUAGAGCAACCAUCCAGAGGUAAAAAAGUCAGGACCCAGGUAGAAACCCUAUUCUGUGAUAAAACUGAGGAAAUGGGACAAGUAUGAGAUUGUUUCAACCCUACCAUCAAUUGGACACUAGGAUCCCAAGGCUGAUGAGCAGAAAGAAGUAUGGGGUCAGAGAGAAGGAAAUACUACAUGAUCUGAAAUGUGAUCAGUGACAUAAUCCUAGAUUCUCUCUACUCAAAGAAAAAGAGUAAUGUGAGAAUAUCACCAUUCAUCCUCUAUUUACAUUAAUUGACUUAGGAACUGAGGGCCAUGGCUGAGUCAACUUGAAGGCAUAGGCCAGUGUAGGUAUGAGGAAAAAAGCAGAGACAGACAUAAUCCAUCUUAACCCAUAAAGCAAGAUAUUUUUAUAGUCUCUGGCCUCCUGAUAUUCUGAAUCUGAAGAAUUUUUCAACAUGAAACCAUAUAAUAUUCAAUCUCUAAACUUUUUUUAUGCAUCAAGAAGAACUGAUUUGAAAAAUUAUUCAUGGGAGUUCCCGUUAUGGCUCAGCAGAAACGGCUCUGACUAGCAUCCAUGAAGAUACAGGUUCGAUCCCUGGCCUUGCUCAGUGGGUUAAGGAUCUGGCAUUGCCAUGAGCUGCAGUGUAGGUCAUAGAUCUGGCUCGGAUUUGGUGUUGCUGUGGCUGUGGUAUAGGCUACAGCUCUGAUUUGACCCCUAGCCUGGGAACCUCCAUAUGCCAUGGGUGUGGCC